RNAcentral lists this long non-coding RNA (207 nucleotides) under Arachis ipaensis. RNAcentral describes it as "long non-coding RNA (AIPA_LNC000343)". The record is from RNAcentral. Lineage: Eukaryota; Viridiplantae; Streptophyta; Magnoliopsida; Fabales; Fabaceae.
GCUCUUCCCUCUUCUCUCGGAUCCCACUCUCUCUGUGCUUCUUUCUCAGCUCUGUGUAAAUGAGUUUUACGUUUAGGAAAGGAAAGGGGGGAAACUAGGGGUGCGGCUGAGUGUGGUGAGGGAGUGAGGGUUAGGGUUUUCAAUUUGGGAAAUUAGGGUUUCUGAAUUGAAUUUGGGAAUUAGGGUUAGAAAUUAGGAUUUUAUAAA